This 280-nucleotide ribosomal RNA is filed under the name uncultured bacterium. RNAcentral's name for it is "partial 16S ribosomal RNA". It matches the Rfam family "Bacterial small subunit ribosomal RNA", at positions 506 to 784 of the family's 1533-position model. The record is from RNAcentral.
UGCCAGCAGCCGCGGUAACACGGGGGGCGCAAGCGUUAUUCGGAAUUAUUGGGCGUAAAGAGCUCGUAGGCGGCUAAGUAAGUCGACUGUGAAAGCUCCAGGCUCAACCUGGAGAGGCCAGUCGAUACUGCUUUGGCUAGAGUCCGGUAGGGGAGCGUGGAAUUCCUGGUGUAGCGGUGGAAUGCGCAGAUAUCAGGAGGAACACCAGCGGCGAAGGCGGCGCUCUGGGCCGGAACUGACGCUGAGGAGCGAAAGCGUGGGUAGCAAACAGGAUUAGAUA